Molecule: long non-coding RNA, 859 nt
Organism: Thunnus maccoyii (southern bluefin tuna)
Lineage: Eukaryota; Metazoa; Chordata; Actinopteri; Scombriformes; Scombridae
Exons: 3
Source: RefSeq, a predicted model, not a curated record
AAGAGUAAAGAGGUGAUAUGGAAUAUGAUCAACAUGACUUGACACUUUAAAUUUCACAGAAAAAAAACACACUAAACCUCAAAUUGCAAAACAUUAUGCCAAUAACAUUCGACUAAUUCACCAAAUAACAUCUGUUACUUUAGCAUAAUCAGAUCUCUCUUACUGCAAACUGCGUGAAUACUGCUAAUUCUAAAACACACAUACUGGUAUUUCUCAAGAUAUGCAUUCAUAAAGUAUUGGCACUUAAGUUUAAAUUUAAGUUUAUCUUUUUGCCCCUAAAACUGUUACUUUUGGUGUUUACUAAGAUAUUUUAAUGGUGCAUUUAACUAGCUACUAAGAGAAGAUUUUUGCAUCACUAGAUUAAAACUAGUUGCAACACACAAACUAGUUGUUAUGUAGAGCAGAAGCCGACAGCUCAUUUUAGUGAGUCAUGAUGCUUUAAUCCACAGAGAUUACUGCGAGUCAUAUAAGGAAUCACUAUCAGAGCUGCGACUCUAUCUGACUUCGAGUAGUCUGGACCAACAGGGAUGGAAAAAUGAUCUUCAUUCUGGGUGUACAGAGAGUCUUUCAGCAGGUGACUGCAGUUCACACUGAGCUCACUGGAAGAUUACACGAGCCUUUCUUUUCACAGCAGCAUGCCGGAGGUGAGGAAAGAAACGUCUUAGGUCGCUUUUACUUGCGCAGAAAAGGUUUUAUAGGCAUGCAAUCUUUCUUGUAUACAUAGACAUUUAUUCACAUUUUGGAGCUGAGGCCACUGAUCAGGCCCUGUGGAGCAGUUUAGAGGUUACAAACCUCUACCUGUAGUGGAGGAUGAUUGUUGCUCAUUCCUAAUAAUUCAGUCUUGGGAUUCACAGACAGG